CGCUGUAUUACUCAGGCUGCACUACAGCGUCUAUUCACAGGCGCGAGCCCACUACUGAGCGGCACGGGGGCUUUGACCUGCUCCGUUACCGACCUGGGCCGGUGCACCCCUCCUUAGGCGACCUGGUGGUCCCGGGCUCCCCCAGAAGCACCAUAUCGAUACCGAACUUAGUGCGGACACCCGAUCGACAUAGUCCGCUGCAGCUCAGAGCUCCUGAGCGCAAACGAUCCGCCAGCCUCAGCCUCCCAGUAGCUUGGAUUACAGGCACGCGCCACCGCACCCGGCGAAGGAGCGGGUCAUUCAUGGCGGGUUUGGGUUUUACGGGAGUGACGUCAUCAAAGGGCGGUUGGAUCACGAUUUUCUUUUAGCAAUCUAUGGCGUUUAUUCAGUAGAUUCUGUGAACGACGUGAACACCGUUGUGGGAAUGUUGCUUAACAAUACUCAACUCUGACAUGAACUCAAAUUUAAAAAAUUGCAAUUUGUCAGCUUUUCAUUUGAGGCUGUAAGGUACAUGUUGUCUGCCUGCCUGUCUGUCUGUCUGUCUACCAAACAGUGUGUGAUAUGACACAAUCAGUUCUAAGGUCUGAUCUCAGAACUGUAUCUAUACUUCACCUUGAUUAUACAGCACAAUUUUUGAUCAAAGCUCCACCUUUUGGUUUUACCCUGGAAUUGCGUCAUUUGUGCUUAAAAUGGGGAUGGCCACAUUAGCAUGUUUAACAUGCCGACAGCACAAGAAGGGGGGCUGCUGGUAACCGGCUGGAAAGGCACUGGUAUGAGGAGUGUCAGCGCCUAGACAACUAAGAUCCUGCAUUCCAAGCAGCCCACACCCAAGCUGGAGAUGACACCCACCGGACAAACCAUCGCUGCACAUUCACUUUCAGUGCAGCUGUGGAGGCUGGAGAACUUCAUCCAGAGUUUCCUUGACAACAGAGACGAGAUCAGACGGGGACCAUAGGACCACAUGGAGAAAUGUUGUCACCUGCGUUUUUGGCGGCUCAAUAACACCCUGCACUUACAACCUCCAGUCCAGACAAAGAGGAGCCUCCGGAUUCCAACCACAUAGAGGAAGUGACUUUAUCACCGCUUCUUUUGUGCUGCUGGGUUUGGAAGCUCUUCAACUCAUUGUUGGCCUCACUUUGAGCAGAAGACGGUCAAGACAAGACAUCAAGUACCAGUUUCAUAGAUAAUCUAGAAACAUCUCUCAGAAGCUUCAAUGAACCAAUUUAAUGUUAACCAUAUAUUUUUAUAUUUUAUUUCAUGUUUAUGUUCCACUGUAAGAUUGUGACCAAGUUGGUAAAAUGCUAAAAUUCUUCUCCUUAGGAUUUAACACCUGUAUAAACUGGUAAUUACACGCUGAGAUCAGUGUUGUAAAACUAAUCAGGAUGUUUAUUUGUUCAUUUCAACAUCUUCUUACUUCACUUUACUCCAUACAUCAAUUUACCAAAUAUACGUGUAAUAAUUGACUAUUUGCCUUAAAAUUCUGUAGAAAUUGCAACAACGAUUGUGUCUUUUACAAGGAAACAGGUUCACUGAGACAGGAUGUGAUAAGUGGUCACAGAGGACAAAUGUCCAAAUACAGAUUAAAGCAGAGAUGUUCACAACAACAGCUUUAAGAUUAACAGUGACAUAUUUUAUUCGCUGGUCCUGGUAAUGCGGAAAAGACUGAGGGAGAACUACUAGUAGUAGAAUCACUGACUUUAGUGAAUGAAAUAUUACAGUGUCAUAUAUGUCGUAUCAACAGUAGAAGCUCAUUGGACAUAUCUGAGUCUGAUGUUUACUUUUGAGAUUUACGCUGAAGUAUAGCACAGUGUCUUUAACAUUAUGAACACACACUACUGCACUGCCAGUUUAAGCUGCAUGUUGUUAGCCCACACUGGGUCACAACAUCUAUCUUCAGAUCCUGGGUUCAACUUUCGGAAAGGAGCCACGCUGAUCUGGGAUCAGUGGUACGUCAACACAAGUCAGAAUUUUUUCUGGACACCAGGAUAUUAGAAAAUACACAACAGGCUUAGACAGAAAAUAUAUAUAGGAUUACAGGAAUAAUCAGUUUCAUCUGAACCUGAGACGGAAUCAGUUUUUCAGUUUAGCUGUUAUCCAGUUGGAAAACACAGCAGCAAGUCCAGAGUAUAAGAUUGCUCUGGAACAAUGCUGACAUUUCUGACAAAGGCUUUCACAGGUGAGAUGAUCUGAUGUCUUUAGAACCCAGUGUCAGAUUUUAACAAUGUGUAUGUUACAAUCUACACUACACUGCCACCAACCUGGUAUUCACUGACAGCGUCAUCAAAGAAAAGAUAAAGGAUUCUCACCAACAUGGUGUGAAAUUAUGACGUCGUCCUGAAAAGAGAACCACAACACACACAAUCACGAUGAGCAGCUCCUCUGUAACACAGGCACAUGAUGCAUGACAGAAAUGUCACGACCAGUUGUGCACUACCAACAAUGCUCAUACCUACGUAAGUCUCUGUGACUUACGUAGGUAUGAGUGUGUGUGGUCUCGCUGCCCCUUGUGACAGACUGAGCAGCCCAUUUGCUGGAUGCCCAAGUUGCUGCUGUGUCUCAGCCAGAAAAUUCUGCUGGUCCACUCUGUGGAAAAACCAUGAAAAUUUAACCAAAACGUAAAGGCCAAUGAAGUGGUUUUGGAUGUAAGCAGUGAGACCGUGUUUGGCUAAUUUAUCAUAUUUUCUCAUACAACUCUUUAUUUAAAUCUCCAAUCUCCUUUCCUUUUUUAAUGCUCAAGAUUUCUAAAUCUACAACAGGAAUCUCCAUCCUCUAUAGUGGAGUUUUUGGCCAAAAUACAGUUGGACAAUGCCUGAGAAUAUGAGCAAAAAACGAAAUAUAUUCAAUCUGUGAAACCAAUAAACCAUCUGAAAAUUGUUUUGAAAAAAAAUUGUUUUUUUUGAAGAUGUUUACCCAGCUUUAAAUUUAGUGGAGAAAUCUACCUGUUAAAUAUGUGCAUAUAUGUGCAAUAAUAGAA
Molecule: long non-coding RNA, 2974 nt
Organism: Betta splendens (Siamese fighting fish)
Lineage: Eukaryota; Metazoa; Chordata; Actinopteri; Anabantiformes; Osphronemidae
Exons: 4
Source: RefSeq, a predicted model, not a curated record